UACGGAGGGUGCAAGCGUUAUCCGGAUUCACUGGGUUUAAAGGGUGCGUAGGUGGGCAGGUAAGUCAGUGGUGAAAUCUCCGGGCUUAACCCGGAAACUGCCAUUGAUACUAUAGGUCUUGAAUUUUCUGGAGGUAAGCGGAAUAUGUCAUGUAGCGGUGAAAUGCUUAGAUAUGACAUAGAACACCAAUUGCGAAGGCAGCUUACUACGGGAACAUUGACACUGAGGCACGAAAGCGUGGGGAUCAAACAGG
RNAcentral lists this ribosomal RNA (253 nucleotides) under uncultured bacterium. Its description in RNAcentral is "partial 16S ribosomal RNA". It matches the Rfam family "Bacterial small subunit ribosomal RNA", at positions 524 to 776 of the family's 1533-position model. The record is from RNAcentral.